CAUUAUUAUUACUGAUCAGUAA
This 22-nucleotide small nuclear RNA is filed under the name Arabidopsis thaliana (thale cress). RNAcentral's name for it is "snRNA_05092". The record is from RNAcentral. Lineage: Eukaryota; Viridiplantae; Streptophyta; Magnoliopsida; Brassicales; Brassicaceae.